Molecule: ribosomal RNA, 468 nt
Filed under: uncultured bacterium
Lineage: Bacteria
Description: partial 16S ribosomal RNA
Rfam family: Bacterial small subunit ribosomal RNA
Source: RNAcentral
GACGAACGCUGGCGGCGUGCUUAACACAUGCAAGUCGAACGGACAGGCCCUGCUCUUGCUGGUUGCUCGAUUGGCGAACGGGUGAGUAACACGUGUGUAACCUGCCCUUGUCUUUGGGAUAUCUCCUGGAAACUCGGGCUCAUAUCGGAUAUGAGCUCCUGAUGCACGGUGGUGGUUGGAAAGUUUCGGCGGUUGGGGAUCGACUCGCGGCUUAUCCGCCUGGUGGUGUGGUAGUGGCUUACCAAGCCUGUGACGGAUAGCCUGCCUGAGAGGGUUGCCGGGCACAUUAGGACUACGGUACGGACCAGAAGCCAACGGGAGGCAACAGUGGAGAGUAUGGCACAGUAAGCGGAAGCCAGAUACAGCAGCGCCGGGUGCGGGAUGACGGCUUUCGGGGUGUAAACCGAUGUCGACUGUGACGUAGCGUGAGUGACGGUAAUGAAUAAAGAAGCAACGGCUAACUACGUG